This 497-nucleotide ribosomal RNA is filed under the name uncultured bacterium. RNAcentral's name for it is "partial 16S ribosomal RNA". It matches the Rfam family "Bacterial small subunit ribosomal RNA", at positions 28 to 507 of the family's 1533-position model. The record is from RNAcentral.
GAUGAACGCUGGCGGCGUGCCUAAUACAUGCAAGUCGAGCGAACGGACGAGAAGCUUGCUUCUCUGAUGUUAGCGGCGGACGGGUGAGUAACACGUGGAUAACCUACCUAUAAGACUGGGAUAACUUCGGGAAACCGUAGCUAAUACCGGAUAAUAUUUUGAACCGCAUGGUUCAAAAGUGAAAGACGGUCUUGCUGUCACUUAUAGAUGGAUCCGCGUUGCAUUAGGUAGUUGGUAAGGUAACGGCUUACCAAGGCGACGAUGCAUAGCCGACCUGAGAGGGUGAUCGGCCACACUGGAACUGAGACACGGCCCAGACUCCUACGGGAGGAAGCAGUAGGGAAUCUUCCGCAAUGGGCGAAAGCCUGACGGAGCAACGCCGCGUGAGUGAUGAAGGUCUUCGGAUCGUAAAACUCUGUUAUUAGGGAAGAACAUAUGUGUAAGUAACUGUGAAGAUCUUGACGGUACCUAAAGAGAAAGCCACGGCUAACUACGUG